GAGUAUGACAGAAGCUGGUAACAGAGAGGAGAAGGAUGGUACUUUUUGGUUGCUGAAGUUUACAAUUAAUUUUCGCCAUAAUAAGUUGACUGUUGGGGAACUGUGCUUCCCUGUGAAUUGCACACUUCAGCUGUGUCCCUGGCUCUGGUCACCCACAGAGAGAGUAAUUAUCCACAUAAGGAAAUGCCUAAAAACAAAGAAUAAUUAGAAGUAGUCUUUCAGAAGCAUGCUCGUUUGUGAAACUGGUGGGUCACAUUCGUUUUAGAAGCACAUCAACUGGGAUAUGGUCUGAGCCUGUGAUUAGAGCACUCGUUCAUUCAACCAGCAAACAUUUACUGAGAGCCGGCCACAUGCUGGACACUGUCCUAGGUGCUGGCGAGGUACUCCUAAGCAAAGAGAAAUAUGAGCCCUGAUGGUAAAUUUAAGAACUGGUUUUCCCCCAAACAGAAGCUCUGAUUUUUCAUUUUUGCCAGUGUAAAUAUGAAAAUUCAGAGUGUCAAUACUUCCACCAUAACCAGUUUCAAGCUACCCGUGUUCCUCAUUGCCUGGCACAUAGAAACCGGCAACCAUCAUUAUAGUCCUAUCUUGAUCCUAAUUAGCAUCGUUGGGCUUGCUGUAACAACAUAAAAAGAAACUCAUGACCUACAGGGGAAGUCUAAGAUGUACUCAGAGGUGUGUGUGGAGAAGAGUCUGAAAAUGCACACUGGGUGUGGUACGAUAACCUCAGAAAGAAAUAGGACAUUGCUCUUUCCUUUUUACUGAAAAUCUGUAAAAUGCAAUUUUCAUUAGUAUGCAUUUUUUAAGUUUUAAAGAAAGAAUUUACAGUGUCCAAGUGGAACAAGCAUCGCUUUCACAUGAUCUGGACCCAAGAGUGACCAAAUGCCGAGGGGAUGCGAGCCAGUUGUUAGGAGAGAGUCCUGUAGCCACGAUAUGUGAAUCAUUGCUCAAGGACUGUUCAGUUGUUUUCCUGGUUUGCAGUUUGGGUGGAGCAUGGGGGGCGAACAUUGUGUCCCUUCUACUGAAGCCAGUCUACAGGGCUUCCGGUGGACUGAAGAAGUAGAAGACAGUGGAUGCUGGGUGUGGGCCGGGGCUGCCGUGGGACUGUGGCUGCAGCAUCUCCCUGUGGCCCCUCCAGGUGGUCGGCUUGUCUCCCAAAGGGUGGUCACAAAGCAUCACCCAGGCCAAGAAAUGGAAAAUGAGACUCUACCUCUCUUGGUUGGCAAGAGUGCAUGGAACUGGAAUACCGAUGGGGCCAUUUUCAGAAAAGACAACCUGCUCCAAGAAUUUCUCUCCUUUUCGAUGUCAUCAGCACCCCCAGCUGCAGAGAAAACAUGGAAGUUAGGCAGGUGGUCUCCAUUGUCCAGUGGAAUCUUACAUUUCUGUAAGUGGAAAGCGGAAACAAAGGAUGUGUAUACUGAAUGUCUCAGGCAAUAACCAUCAGGCUGCCUUCCAUGCUGAAGAGCAAUGAUCACCUGGGGUCUGCAGACCCCCAGAGUCACGGAGAGGACAUGGAAUAAAGUGAGGGAGAGAGAGAC
Molecule: long non-coding RNA, 1535 nt
Organism: Enhydra lutris kenyoni (northern sea otter)
Lineage: Eukaryota; Metazoa; Chordata; Mammalia; Carnivora; Mustelidae
Exons: 5
Source: RefSeq, a predicted model, not a curated record